UUAGCGCGGAAGAAGGGCUAAACGCAAGUUUGGCUUUGACGGUACGNGCAGAGAAAGCGACGACUAACUAUGUGCCAGCAGUCGCGGUAAGACAUAGGUCGCAAACGUUAUCCGGAAUUAUUGGGCGUAAAGGAUGCGUAGAUGGCUGAUAAGUUAUCAGUGGAAAAUCGGGGCUCAACCCUGUGGAAGCUGGUAAUACUGUCUGGCUUGAAUACAGGAGAGGUUAACGGAACUCCAUGUGGAGCGGUAAAAUGCGUAGAUAUAUGGAAGAACACCGAUAUGGCGAAGGCAGUUAACUAUUCUGUUAUUGACAUUGAGGCAUGAAAGCGUGGGGAGCAAAACGGAUUAGAUACCCGUGUAGUCCACGCCCUAAACGAUGAGUGCUAGAUAUUGGGAACUUGAUUCCCAGUGUCGCUAGUUAACACAGUAAGCACUCCGCCUGGGCAGUACGCUCGCAAGAGUGAAACUCAAAGGAAUUGACGGGGACUCGCACAAGCAGUGGAGCAUGUGGUUUAAUCCGAUACGACGCGUAGAACCUUACCAAGGCUUGACAUGUCCGGCAAAGUUAAUGAAAGUUAAUGGAGGUUAUCCGGUCACAGGUGCUGCAUGGCCAUCGUCAGUUCGUGCCGUGAGGUGUAUGGUUAAGUCCUAUAACGAACGCAACCCUUGUGCUUAGUUGCCAGCAUUCAGUUGGGGAAUCUAAGCAGACUGCCAGAGUAAUCUGGAGGAAGGAAAGGACGACGUUUGGUCGUCAUGGCCCUUAUGCCUUGGGCGACACACGUGCUACAAUGGUUAGGACAAUGGGUUGCCAACCCGCGAGGGGGAGCUAAUCUCAAAAAACUAACCUCAGUUCGGAUUGGAGGCUGCAACUCGCCUCCAUGAAGUCGGAAUUGCUAGUAAUCGCAAAUCAGCCAUGUUGCGGUGAAUACGUUCUCGAGUCUUGUACACACCGCCCGUCAAAUCACGAAAGUCGGUAAUACCUGAAACUGACUGAUUAACCCGCAAGGGAUACAGUGACAAGGGUAGGAUUG
RNAcentral lists this ribosomal RNA (1031 nucleotides) under uncultured bacterium. RNAcentral's name for it is "bacterial SSU rRNA". It matches the Rfam family "Bacterial small subunit ribosomal RNA", at positions 434 to 1470 of the family's 1533-position model. The record is from RNAcentral.